This 253-nucleotide ribosomal RNA is filed under the name uncultured bacterium. RNAcentral's name for it is "partial 16S ribosomal RNA". It matches the Rfam family "Bacterial small subunit ribosomal RNA", at positions 524 to 775 of the family's 1533-position model. The record is from RNAcentral.
UACGUAGGUGGCAAGCGUUGUCCGGAAUUAUUUGGGCGUAAAGCGCGCGCAGGCGGUCCUUUAAGUCUGAUGUGAAAGCCCACGGCUCAACCGUGGAGGGUCAUUGGAAACUGGGGGGACUUGAGUGCAGGAGAGAAGAGUGGAAUUCCACGUGUAGCGGUGAAAUGCGUAGAGAUGUGGAGGAACACCAGUGGCGAAGGCGACUCUUUGGCCUGUAACUGACGUGAGGCGCGAAAGCGUGGGGAGCAAACGG